Molecule: ribosomal RNA, 482 nt
Filed under: uncultured bacterium
Lineage: Bacteria
Description: partial 16S ribosomal RNA
Rfam family: Bacterial small subunit ribosomal RNA
Source: RNAcentral
AUUGAACGCUGGCGGCAGGCCUAACACAUGCAAGUCGAGCGGAUGAAGGGAGCUUGCUCCUGGAUUCAGCGGCGGACGGGUGAGUAAUGCCUAGGAAUCUGCCUGGUAGUGGGGGAUAACGUCCGGAAACGGGCGCUAAUACCGCAUACGUCCUGAGGGAGAAAGUGGGGGAUCUUCGGACCUCACGCUAUCAGAUGAGCCUAGGUCGGAUUAGCUAGUUGGUGGGGUAAAGGCCUACCAAGGCGACGAUCCGUAACUGGUCUGAGAGGAUGAUCAGUCACACUGGAACUGAGACACGGUCCAGACUCCUACGGGAGGCAGCAGUGGGGAAUAUUGGACAAUGGGCGAAAGCCUGAUCCAGCCAUGCCGCGUGUGUGAAGAAGGUCUUCGGAUUGAAAAGCACUUUAAGUUGGGAGGAAGGGCAGUAAGUUAAUACCUUGCUGUUUUGACGUUACCAACAGAAUAAGCACCGGCUAACUUCG